This 429-nucleotide ribosomal RNA is filed under the name Bacteroidota bacterium. Its description in RNAcentral is "Bacteroidetes bacterium partial 16S ribosomal RNA". It matches the Rfam family "Bacterial small subunit ribosomal RNA", at positions 355 to 776 of the family's 1533-position model. The record is from RNAcentral. Lineage: Bacteria; Pseudomonadati; Bacteroidota.
UAGGGAAUCUUCCGCAAUGGACGCAAGUCUGACGGAGCAACGCCGCGUGAGUGAAGAAGGUUUUCGGUUCGUAAAACUCUGUUGUUAGAGAAGAACAGCGCAUAGAGUAACUGUUAUGCGUGUGACGGUAUCUAACCAGAAAGCCACGGCUAACUACGUGCCAGCAGCCGCGGUAAUACGUAGGUGGCAAGCGUUGUCCGGAUUUAUUGGGCGUAAAGCGAGCGCAGGCGGUCAAUUAAGUCUGAUGUGAAAGCCCCCGGCUCAACCGGGGAGGGUCAUUGGAAACUGGUUGACUUGAGUGCAGAAGAGGAGAGUGGAAUUCCAUGUGUAGCGGUGAAAUGCGUAGAUAUAUGGAGGAACACCAGUGGCGAAGGCGACUCUCUGGUCUGUAACUGACGCUGAGGCUCGAAAGCGUGGGUAGCGAACAGG